UCUUCCCGAGAGCACGUCUGCCUGAGCGCCUG
RNAcentral lists this ribosomal RNA (32 nucleotides) under Aiolochroia crassa. Its description in RNAcentral is "partial 5.8S ribosomal RNA". The record is from RNAcentral. RNAcentral also lists the same sequence under 1 other name. Lineage: Eukaryota; Metazoa; Porifera; Demospongiae; Verongiida; Aplysinidae.